This is a non-coding RNA of Acanthosepion pharaonis, 105 nucleotides long. The record is from the annotation of a GenBank genome assembly. NCBI's taxonomy places the organism in Eukaryota, Metazoa, Mollusca, Cephalopoda, Sepiida, Sepiidae.
GCUACAUCAUGUUCAAAACACCGGUUCUCGUACGAUCACCGAAGUUAAGCAACGUCGUGCUUGGACAGUACCUAGAUGGAUGAUCGCUUCGGAAUACCAGGUGCU